RNAcentral lists this ribosomal RNA (658 nucleotides) under Klebsiella quasipneumoniae subsp. similipneumoniae. RNAcentral describes it as "partial 23S ribosomal RNA". It matches the Rfam family "Bacterial large subunit ribosomal RNA", at positions 167 to 867 of the family's 2925-position model. Lineage: Bacteria; Pseudomonadati; Pseudomonadota; Gammaproteobacteria; Enterobacterales; Enterobacteriaceae. The record is from RNAcentral. RNAcentral also lists the same sequence under 1 other name.
UAGGUUAACGAGGCGAACCGGGGGAACUGAAACAUCUAAGUACCCCGAGGAAAAGAAAUCAACCGAGAUUCCCCCAGUAGCGGCGAGCGAACGGGGAGCAGCCCAGAGUCUGAAUCAGCUUGUGUGUUAGUGGAACGGUCUGGAAAGUCCGACGGUACAGGGUGAUAGUCCCGUACACCAAAAUGCACAGGCUGUGAACUCGAAGAGUAGGGCGGGACACGUGGUAUCCUGUCUGAAUAUGGGGGGACCAUCCUCCAAGGCUAAAUACUCCUGACUGACCGAUAGUGAACCAGUACCGUGAGGGAAAGGCGAAAAGAACCCCGGCGAGGGGAGUGAAAAAGAACCUGAAACCGUGUACGUACAAGCAGUGGGAGCACCUUUAUGGUGUGACUGCGUACCUUUUGUAUAAUGGGUCAGCGACUUAUAUUCUGUAGCAAGGUUAACCGUAUAGGGGAGCCGCAGGGAAACCGAGUCUUAACUGGGCGUUAAGUUGCAGGGUAUAGACCCGAAACCCGGUGAUCUAGCCAUGGGCAGGUUGAAGGUUGGGUAACACUAACUGGAGGACCGAACCGACUAAUGUUGAAAAAUUAGCGGAUGACUUGUGGCUGGGGGUGAAAGGCCAAUCAAACCGGGAGAUAGCUGGUUCUCCCCGAAAGCU